GACGAACGCUGGCGGCGUGCUUAACACAUGCAAGUCGAACGGAAAGGCCCUGCUUUUGUGGGGUGCUCGAGUGGCGAACGGGUGAGUAACACGUGAGUAACCUGCCCUUGACUUUGGGAUAACUUCAGGAAACUGGGGCUAAUACCGGAUAGGAGCUCCUGCUGCAUGGUGGGGGUUGGAAAGUUUCGGCGGUUGGGGAUGGACUCGCGGCUUAUCAGCUUGUUGGUGGGGUAGUGGCUUACCAAGGCUUUGACGGGUAGCCGGCCUGAGAGGGUGACCGGCCACAUUGGGACCAGGGUAGGGCCCGCAUCCUACGGGAGGCAGCAGUGGGGAAUAUUGCACAAUGGGCGGAAGCCUGAUGCAGCAACGCCGCGUGCGGGAUGACGGCCUUCGGGUUGUAAACCGCUUUCGCCUGUGACGAAGCGUGAGUGACGGUAAUGGGUAAAGAAGCACCGGCUAACUACGUG
RNAcentral lists this ribosomal RNA (467 nucleotides) under uncultured bacterium. RNAcentral's name for it is "partial 16S ribosomal RNA". It matches the Rfam family "Bacterial small subunit ribosomal RNA", at positions 28 to 507 of the family's 1533-position model. The record is from RNAcentral.